GACGUAGGGCGCGAGCGUUGCCCGGAUUUAUUGGGCGUAAAGAGCUCGUAGGCGGCUUGUUGCGUCGACCGUGAAAACCCGGGGCUCAACUUCGGGCUUGCGGUCGAUACGGGCGGGCUAGAGUUCGGUAGGGGAGACUGGAAUUCCUGGUGUAGCGGUGAAAUGCGCAGAUAUCAGGAGGAACACCGGUGGCGAAGGCGGGUCUCUGGGCCGAUACUGACGCUGAGGAGCGAAAGCGUGGGGAGCGAACA
RNAcentral lists this ribosomal RNA (251 nucleotides) under uncultured Catellatospora sp. RNAcentral's name for it is "partial 16S ribosomal RNA". It matches the Rfam family "Bacterial small subunit ribosomal RNA", at positions 524 to 774 of the family's 1533-position model. Lineage: Bacteria; Bacillati; Actinomycetota; Actinomycetes; Micromonosporales; Micromonosporaceae. The record is from RNAcentral.